Long non-coding RNA from Xiphophorus couchianus (Monterrey platyfish), 651 nucleotides. RefSeq lists it as uncharacterized. The record is from RefSeq and is a predicted model, not a curated record. NCBI's taxonomy places the organism in Eukaryota, Metazoa, Chordata, Actinopteri, Cyprinodontiformes, Poeciliidae. The transcript is spliced from 2 exons.
GUUAAAGGGAAGUUCUGCAACCACUUCCGCUCACUUUUUCUGUCGCAUCUUUGCGGUUCGGCUGGCAGAACUUGCGCCCAGCGCUCACCAGCAGACCCGAUGGGAAAAGUAGAAGAAGGGGAAAAGUUUUGGCCUUACUUUGAGCCUUCGACUGGAAAAAAGCGGCAGUGAAGAAGUCUUGUGACUGGGAUUUGUCCCGCCGCUCUCCCCUCUCCUCCUCCUCCUCCUUCAGCUGGAGCUGCUUAUGUCGACAGCAGUAAACUUGAGGAUAAAAUCCUGCGUCAUCCUCCACAGCGGACAAACCUCGGCUUUCACACGGCGCGUAAACACGAAGCGAGCGCGUUUUGAUAUGGUUUAUCUACCCGAACACGACACAUUGGACCUGACUGUAUUUUUCUGUAUUUACCCGUUUUUUUUUUGUUUUUUUUUGCCACUUAAACUGCAACAUGUAAGCUAAGUGUCACGUAAGCGACACACGACUACAACUUCCGGUUUUGUCCUUCAAAUCUCAAAACUGUCGAAUCUGCUUUUCAAUCACAACAUACAUCACACAUUUUACAAUCAUAUAGUCAAUAUCAGAGGUGUGUUCUUACAGAUUUAUUCGUGUCUUGGGAAUGUGAAUCUAAAUCUUUUUCUUUCUUUUCUAAAAAA